Long non-coding RNA from Heterocephalus glaber (naked mole-rat), 1196 nucleotides. NCBI's taxonomy places the organism in Eukaryota, Metazoa, Chordata, Mammalia, Rodentia, Bathyergidae. The record is from Ensembl.
CUUAUUUACACUUAUGUAAGGUGUGAAAAAUUGUGUGAGGCCAAUACGCUUAGCCCUCUUUGCUUCAGCUGACCUCUUCACAAGUGCAGAUGCUGUGAUCUCAUUUCUCUUCAUGUAUUUUGCUGACCUGAUGGGACAAAGACCUUCCAACCGGAUAGACUAUUAUUAUUUUUCAUGAAGAAGAUCAAAUCCUGUAACACUGUAGAAAAAUGUUCUGUGAGAAAGUGUUGAAGACUCUUUGUGGAAAUUAUGCCCAUCCGUUGAUUCUAAUUAAUUAUUUUGAAUAAUUGAUAAUAUAUUUGAUGUGGAUAUAUCAAGGUAUAUUUAUCAACUCUUCAAAUAAUGGAAAUUGAGUUUUUAAAUGUCUGUGCAUUCUUAAUGUUGUGUAGCUUGAAUCAUAUGUCAAAUUCAAGAACCAGGUAUCUUAAGACAAACCAACCAUCAAAUCUGGAGAAAAAUAGCUACUUUCAAGAAUACAUGCUAAAAUUUUCUUGGCUGCCAUGAACUCAGCAUUUUUGCUUCACCAUGCCCUUCUGCCGUGAUGCUCCUGUCUCGGAGCCAUGGGUGGAUUCCCUGAACCAUGAGCCAAGGUAUGAAAAAUUGAAACAGCUGCCUGGCCGGAAACCAUCCCACUGAUGCCAGCAGCUGCCCUGCCAGACCACGCUGUGAGGGGCCUUGUGGUAUCUGAAUCCACACAACAGAGGUGCCGGGGGGAACACAAAGGCUGUGGCUGUGAGCCCCAGAAGAUAGAGAAGAAGUGAACAACAGAGAGGGCCUCUCUGAGGCUCCUCAAUGAAAAUUGAAACCCACUGGGAAAAUGAAGAAAAUCUCUUCAAUAAAAGCACACUGGACCAUCGUGGUUGAAUUGUUCUAUAUGAUUCGGAUACAUACAAAACAGUGGAGGAAGAAUCAAUCAAUUGAGCUUUGACAAUUGGCAGCCCAUGUAGAAAAAACAAGACAUUGGUAAGUUAUUCUAUAUCAGAACCAAAAAUAAAUUACAGAUUGGUUAAAAAUUUAAAUGUGAAAAUAACUAUAAACUUUUGAACUUCAAAAAAAAAAAUAGCCAACAGGACCUUUAUCAGCCCAAUUAAGGUAAGCAGGCAAGAACCUGAAUGGACAUUAUCAAAAACUUAUACCGUAGCAAAAUUAAAUUUUAGUGGUUUCCAAAGGAUAGUGUCAAAAAAGUAAAAACCAAG